Molecule: ribosomal RNA, 494 nt
Filed under: uncultured bacterium
Lineage: Bacteria
Description: partial 16S ribosomal RNA
Rfam family: Bacterial small subunit ribosomal RNA
Source: RNAcentral
GACGAACGCUGGCGGCGUGCUUAACACAUGCAAGUCGAACGGAAAGGCCUGCUUUCCCUUGUGGAUUGCGGGUACUCGAGUGGCGAACGGGUGAGUAACACGUGAGUGAUCUGCCCCCAACUUGGGUAUAAGCCUGGGAAACUGGGUCUAAUUCCCGAUAGGACUGCAGGGUGGUGCCUGUGGUGGAAAACGAUUUUCUAGUGGUUGGGGAUGCGCUCGCGGCCUAUCAGCUUGUUGGUGGGGUAAUGGCCUACCAAGGCGGCGACGGGUAGCCGGCCUGAGAGGGUGGACGGCCACAUUGGGACGGGGAUACGGCCCAGACUCCUACGGGAGGAAGAAGUGGGGAAUAUUGCACAAUGGGCGGAAGCCUGAUGCAGCGACGCCGGGUGGGGGAUGACGGGCUUCGGGUUGUAAACUCCUUUCGACCGCGAGGAAGCCACCUGGUUGGAAGGGUGGUGACGGUAGUGGUAGAAGAAGCACCGGCUAACUACGUG